RNAcentral lists this ribosomal RNA (2922 nucleotides) under Staphylococcus argenteus. RNAcentral describes it as "23S ribosomal RNA". It matches the Rfam family "Bacterial large subunit ribosomal RNA". Lineage: Bacteria; Bacillati; Bacillota; Bacilli; Caryophanales; Staphylococcaceae. The record is from RNAcentral.
GAUUAAGUUAUUAAGGGCGCACGGUGGAUGCCUUGGCACUAGAAGCCGAUGAAGGACGUUACUAACGACGAUAUGCUUUGGGGAGCUGUAAGUAAGCUUUGAUCCAGAGAUUUCCGAAUGGGGAAACCCAACAUGAGUUAUGUCAUGUUAUCGAUAUGUGAAUACAUAGCAUAUCAGAAGGCACACCCGGAGAACUGAAACAUCUUAGUACCCGGAGGAAGAGAAAGAAAAUUCGAUUCCCUUAGUAGCGGCGAGCGAAACGGGAAGAGCCCAAACCAACAAGCUUGCUUGUUGGGGUUGUAGGACACUCUAUACGGAGUUACAAAGGACGACAUUAGACGAAUCAUCUGGAAAGAUGAAUCAAAGAAGGUAAUAAUCCUGUAGUCGAAAAUGUUGUCUCUCUUGAGUGGAUCCUGAGUACGACGGAGCACGUGAAAUUCCGUCGGAAUCUGGGAGGACCAUCUCCUAAGGCUAAAUACUCUCUAGUGACCGAUAGUGAACCAGUACCGUGAGGGAAAGGUGAAAAGCACCCCGGAAGGGGAGUGAAAUAGAACCUGAAACCGUGUGCUUACAAGUAGUCAGAGCCCGUUAAUGGGUGAUGGCGUGCCUUUUGUAGAAUGAACCGGCGAGUUACGAUUUGAUGCAAGGUUAAGCAGUAAAUGUGGAGCCGUAGCGAAAGCGAGUCUGAAUAGGGCGUUUAGUAUUUGGUCGUAGACCCGAAACCAGGUGAUCUACCCUUGGUCAGGUUGAAGUUCAGGUAACACUGAAUGGAGGACCGAACCGACUUACGUUGAAAAGUGAGCGGAUGAACUGAGGGUAGCGGAGAAAUUCCAAUCGAACCUGGAGAUAGCUGGUUCUCUCCGAAAUAGCUUUAGGGCUAGCCUCAAGUGAUGAUUAUUGGAGGUAGAGCACUGUUUGGACGAGGGGCCCCUCUCGGGUUACCGAAUUCAGACAAACUCCGAAUGCCAAUUAAUUUAACUUGGGAGUCAGAACAUGGGUGAUAAGGUCCGUGUUCGAAAGGGAAACAGCCCAGACCACCAGCUAAGGUCCCAAAAUAUAUGUUAAGUGGAAAAGGAUGUGGCGUUGCCCAGACAACUAGGAUGUUGGCUUAGAAGCAGCCAUCAUUUAAAGAGUGCGUAAUAGCUCACUAGUCGAGUGACACUGCGCCGAAAAUGUACCGGGGCUAAACAUAUUACCGAAGCUGUGGAUUGUCCUUUGGACAAUGGUAGGAGAGCGUUCUAAGGGCGUUGAAGCAUGAUCGUAAGGACAUGUGGAGCGCUUAGAAGUGAGAAUGCCGGUGUGAGUAGCGAAAGACGGGUGAGAAUCCCGUCCACCGAUUGACUAAGGUUUCCAGAGGAAGGCUCGUCCGCUCUGGGUUAGUCGGGUCCUAAGCUGAGGCCGACAGGCGUAGGCGAUGGAUAACAGGUUGAUAUUCCUGUACCACCUAUAAUCGUUUUAAUCGAUGGGGGACGCAGUAGGAUAGGCGAAGCGUGCGAUUGGAUUGCACGUCUAAGCAGUAAGGCUGAGUAUUAGGCAAAUCCGGUACUCAUUAAGGCUGAGCUGUGAUGGGGAGAAGACAUUGUGUCUUCGAGUCGUUGAUUUCACACUGCCGAGAAAAGCCUCUAGAUAGAAAAUAGGUGCCCGUACCGCAAACCGACACAGGUAGUCAAGAUGAGAAUUCUAAGGUGAGCGAGCGAACUCUCGUUAAGGAACUCGGCAAAAUGACCCCGUAACUUCGGGAGAAGGGGUGCUCUUUAGGGUUAACGCCCAGAAGAGCCGCAGUGAAUAGGCCCAAGCGACUGUUUAUCAAAAACACAGGUCUCUGCUAAACCGUAAGGUGAUGUAUAGGGGCUGACGCCUGCCCGGUGCUGGAAGGUUAAGAGGAGUGGUUAGCUUCUGCGAAGCUACGAAUCGAAGCCCCAGUAAACGGCGGCCGUAACUAUAACGGUCCUAAGGUAGCGAAAUUCCUUGUCGGGUAAGUUCCGACCCGCACGAAAGGCGUAACGAUUUGGGCACUGUCUCAACGAGAGACUCGGUGAAAUCAUAGUACCUGUGAAGAUGCAGGUUACCCGCGACAGGACGGAAAGACCCCGUGGAGCUUUACUGUAGCCUGAUAUUGAAAUUCGGCACAGCUUGUACAGGAUAGGUAGGAGCCUUUGAAACGUGAGCGCUAGCUUACGUGGAGGCGCUGGUGGGAUACUACCCUAGCUGUGUUGGCUUUCUAACCCGCACCACUUAUCGUGGUGGGAGACAGUGUCAGGCGGGCAGUUUGACUGGGGCGGUCGCCUCCUAAAAGGUAACGGAGGCGCUCAAAGGUUCCCUCAGAAUGGUUGGAAAUCAUUCAUAGAGUGUAAAGGCAUAAGGGAGCUUGACUGCGAGACCUACAAGUCGAGCAGGGUCGAAAGACGGACUUAGUGAUCCGGUGGUUCCGCAUGGAAGGGCCAUCGCUCAACGGAUAAAAGCUACCCCGGGGAUAACAGGCUUAUCUCCCCCAAGAGUUCACAUCGACGGGGAGGUUUGGCACCUCGAUGUCGGCUCAUCGCAUCCUGGGGCUGUAGUCGGUCCCAAGGGUUGGGCUGUUCGCCCAUUAAAGCGGUACGCGAGCUGGGUUCAGAACGUCGUGAGACAGUUCGGUCCCUAUCCGUCGUGGGCGUAGGAAAUUUGAGAGGAGCUGUCCUUAGUACGAGAGGACCGGGAUGGACAUACCUCUGGUGUACCAGUUGUCGUGCCAACGGCAUAGCUGGGUAGCUAUGUGUGGACGGGAUAAGUGCUGAAAGCAUCUAAGCAUGAAGCCCCCCUCAAGAUGAGAUUUCCCAACUUCGGUUAUAAGAUCCCUCAAAGAUGAUGAGGUUAAUAGGUUCGAGGUGGAAGCAUGGUGACAUGUGGAGCUGACGAAUACUAAUCGAUCGAAGACUUAAUCAA